UACAGAGGGUGCAAGCGUUAAUCGGAAUUACUGGGCGUAAAGCGUGCGUAGACGGUUAUGUAAGUCGGGUGUGAAAGCCCCGGGCUCAACCUGGGAAUUGCAUUCGAGACUGUUCAGCUAGGGUGCGGAAGAGGGAAGCGGAAUUUCCGGUGUAGCGGUGAAAUGCGUAGAUAUUAGAAGGAACACCGAUGGCGUAGGCAGUCUACUGGCUCAUUACUGACACUAAGGCACGAAAGCGUGGGGAGCAAACAGG
RNAcentral lists this ribosomal RNA (253 nucleotides) under uncultured bacterium. Its description in RNAcentral is "partial 16S ribosomal RNA". It matches the Rfam family "Bacterial small subunit ribosomal RNA", at positions 524 to 776 of the family's 1533-position model. The record is from RNAcentral.